Molecule: non-coding RNA, 24 nt
Filed under: Arabidopsis thaliana (thale cress)
Lineage: Eukaryota; Viridiplantae; Streptophyta; Magnoliopsida; Brassicales; Brassicaceae
Source: RNAcentral
AGGUGUGGUUAGAUAGAACUUAGA